AUUAACCGGAGUUCGUAUUGUAAAAAAACAAUAACAUUUCUGUUGUACUUAACAGUUGCCCCGUUGAUCCAACUGUGAGAAUCAGUGGAUCUGGAAGCCAAAAGAGAUUUAGCAUCACGUCAUUUGGAAUGAUCCAGAAAGGAUUAGACCACAAUGUAAUUGUACGGUGUCGAAUGAUUGCUUGUGACAGCAAGAACGCAUCUGAAUGCGAGGAACUGAAGAGUAAGAGUAGAAAUUGUCCUGCACGCAAGGGCUAGACGUCCAAGUCACAAUGCGAUUAGCACACAUCUCGCUUCCAUUCUACUAUUCUACACACCAGAUACACUACUGCAAAUUCUGUUUUGAGGAUUUUUGAUAAAUUGAAAUAAUACCUGGAGAACAUUUUAUUAAUUGAUAAUAUUUACAUGCACUGACAAUAGACUGACGAAGUUAGCGAAUAAACCGUGCAAUUAUCUUAAUGACCUAUGUUAUAACUUUGAAUUGUUGUUUGAAAUUAUAUGAACGUGAAACCGGCUAUAGUAAGUAAAAGAACCGUUUGAUUUAUAUUUAAAUUCUUGAAAAUAAAUGCCGAUAAUAUGCAAAUUA
Anneissia japonica is the source of this 585-nucleotide long non-coding RNA. RefSeq lists it as uncharacterized. The record is from RefSeq and is a predicted model, not a curated record. The transcript has 2 exons. NCBI's taxonomy places the organism in Eukaryota, Metazoa, Echinodermata, Crinoidea, Comatulida, Comatulidae.